AUUCUGAAAUAAGAAAGGACUAUCAAUAAGAAUAGUAGUUACUAUAUAAUUUUAAUUUUACUAGUUGGUGAAAGUCCAGAAAACUUUAAUGAGCUAGCAACAUGUCUUUUAUUUCUUCACCAGAAUUGUUGGCACCUGGAUGGUAAAUCUUCAAGUUACUAUGAAAGAAGAUCACAAACCAAAAAGUAACAUAGGAAAUACUAAAGACUGGAACAUUUUAUCAGAUUUUACUCGGUUUCAUAUACAGAAAGCUAUAGGAGUGUUUUGCCAGAUUCUAAAUGACAACUUUAAAUCAGAGCCUUGAAAUCUACAGAAGUCCAGUAUAUACUGAGGUAAUUUACUUAUUCUAAUGAGCAGCAGCAAGAGACACAUCUGGUAGACGUAAAAGACCUAAUGAAAAUUAAAAGACACAACAUUUGGAACAACUGGUAGGUAAAUAACAAAGGUAUUUGUAAUAACCUCUUUCUUAUGAGGGAAAUUUUUCUGAGGGAAAAACAAUGAACAUGACAUUGUAUGAAAAGAACUUUGAAAGUUUAGUAAUUUUAGGGAAGUUGGAAAUCAAACAAAAGUUCCAUGGAAGCAGAUGUUUUUUUUUUUCCAUACAACAAUGCAGUACAUAAUUUCUU
This 626-nucleotide long non-coding RNA is filed under the name Cercocebus atys (sooty mangabey). Its description in RNAcentral is "lncRNA (ENSCATG00000045567.1)". The record is from RNAcentral. Lineage: Eukaryota; Metazoa; Chordata; Mammalia; Primates; Cercopithecidae.